AGCACGUGGUUAAUUCGAUGCAAACCGAAGAACCUACCUGGCUUGACAUCCCGGAGACCCUUAGGAACUAGGGGUGCUUCCAUCUGGAAGAAUCUGGAGACAGGUGCUGCAUGGCUGUCGUCAGCUCGUGUCGUGAGAUGUUGGGUUAAGUCCCGCAACGAGCGCAACCCUUGCCUUUAGUUGCCAGCAGUUCGGCUGGGCACUCUAAAGGGACUGCCGGUGUUAAACCGGAGGAAGGUGGGGAUGACGUCAAGUCCUCAUGGCCUUUAUGACCAGGGCUACACACGUACUACAAUGGCCGAUACAAAGGGCAGCGACACUGCGAGGUGAAGCCAAUCCCGUAAAAUCGGUCUCAGUCCGGAUUGGAGUCUGCAACUCGACUCCAUGAAGUUGGAAUCGCUAGUAAUCGUGGAUCAGCAUGCCACGGUGAAUACGUUCCCGGGCCUU
This 447-nucleotide ribosomal RNA is filed under the name uncultured Desulfobulbus sp. RNAcentral describes it as "bacterial SSU rRNA". It matches the Rfam family "Bacterial small subunit ribosomal RNA", at positions 936 to 1382 of the family's 1533-position model. Lineage: Bacteria; Pseudomonadati; Thermodesulfobacteriota; Desulfobulbia; Desulfobulbales; Desulfobulbaceae. The record is from RNAcentral.